GUGAUUCAAUGGUGGCACUAGCUAUUGUGGGUUAAUGGCGAGAACCGGGUAGCUGCAACGGGGAAGAUACGGCGCCCUUUUUUCUGAAAACAAUUCUGAGAGCAGCAAUGCGACUUUAGUGGAGCGCAGUGUGGCGGGGGGUCUGUAGCUGGCAUAUCCACUGCAGUACGAACAAGAAGAACGGAGAGAAAUCCAUCUAGUAGAAAACAAGAUGAGUCACUCGUGUUCAGUAAGUGUCCCAUUUCUUUAUGAAAACCGAGGAUUGGUGCUGGACAUGAUUCUCCGCUCUUUGUUAGGAGUAGCCCAGCCCAAGACUAUCAACUGGGAAAGUGUAGCUAGACUCAUACCGGGAGUCACAGCCAAGCAGUGUGCCAAGAGAUUUGAAGAGAUGAGAAACAAUGGAACCAUGCCCCAUAUUUGUGAUGAAAACAAGUGUGAAGGGAGUCCAUCUAAAUCAUUAGCUACAUAUAUUAAAUCAACGUUACUGGACCAUGAAGAAAAUGAAAAAUCUAGGUUAUCUGUGGUCCCGAAUAGCAUUUCCACAUCAGGACGGGCUGGAGUAUCUUCAGGAAGAAAUUGCACUCUAAAAGAAAAUGGUUCAAGUGAUAAAGAUGAAGACAAACUGGAUGAAAGCCAAGGGCCCAACAUGGUAAUCCAUGUUUGUGAUGAAGCCAAAAACCUGAAGCGUGAUUUUGUUUGUCCUCGGAAUCUACUAGUCAGUGAAAUGAAGUACUUUGCUGAGUAUCUGUCUGUUGAUGCACAACGCUGGCAGGAAGUAGACAUAUCGGUGCACUGUGAUGUCCAUAUCUUUGCCUGGUUGAUGAGCUAUGUGAAGAGGAAACUAAAACAUCAAGGACAAACUGAACAACCAGAACUAGAGCCCAACAAUGUUAUUUCAAUCCUCAUUUCAUCUGAAUUUUUGAAAAUGGAUUCGUUGGUUGAAGAAUGUAUGCGUUACUGUCAUAAAAAUAUGAGUGCCAUUGUAGCUACUCCUUGCAAUAUGAACUGUAUUAAUGGGACUCUGGCCUCACGUAUUGUUGACCUUUUCACACAUAACGAAGCUGAUGAAGUAAAAGACAGAAAAGAUAAAUUUAAAAGUAAAAUAUUUUGCAAGAAGAUUGAGAGGCUGUUUGAUCCAGAUUACAAGGACCCAGACUCCCCAGCGAGUGCUGAUACAUUGUACAGAUGUGGCAUGUGUAAGAAACUUCUUACCAAAGAAACUGAGAAAAUGAUUCCUUGUACUCCUCUGAAAAUAAAUAUCGAUCUUCGAGGAAAUAUAAUAUACUUGCACAUUAGAGAUAAAAGCUGGGAUGUGCAUGAGUAUCUUAAUAGUCUUUAUGAAGACUUGAAGUCUUGGCAAGAUGUGUACUGGCGUUUAUGGGGGACUAUAAAUUGGUUGCCCUGCACAAGAUGUAAAAAAGUUUUCCAAUGCAUCGAACUCUCCCACUGCCAGUAUCACCCAGAACAAGUGAUGUAUCCUUCGAUAUGUAACCAGUUAUCCACUCCUGGCAUCGGGUUCUACCCUUGCUGUAAGCAGAAAGUUCUACGAUUUGAUCCUCUUCAAACAAAUACAGGUUGUAAAGUGCGUGAUCAUGUUGUCAAAUUAGCCAGUCAACUUCAAAAUGGUAAACUUACUUCAGUACCAGUCAGUCAAGUGUAUUGUGAUGUCCUGCAACAUAAGGAUAUUGUCUGUGUGCCAUUCUGUAAAACAGAGGAAAGUAAUGCAAGCGCACACAUUUCUGGCGAGCAGGACCUUGAUUUUGAUAUCUUAGCUGAACCUAAUUCAUGGAAAGGACAGAAAAUUGGAGAUGUCACAACUUUUUCACUUUUGAAAAACUGGAGUUUGCAGCUGAAGCAGCAAGUAAUGUAUUCUGAAGAUGAAGAAUAUACCACAGGUUCAGAGGUAACUGAGGAUGAAGUGGGAGAUGAAGAAGAACUGACAAAGAAAAGAGGUACAAAAAAGGUUAAGAAAAUUGCCAACCAGGCAAAGAAGUCAGCAGCAUCUCCUACCACACAGAAAAAAGAGAAGGGAUCUCUUCGAGAUGUAUCUCCUUUCACGAGAAAACAGCUCACAAUAACGCAGAGAGGCUGCAGACUGGCAGAGGACCGCCCCACCUUCCAAUCUUGACCAGAUAGAGCAGGAGGCACUGGAACUGGAGAAGCACCAUGCGCCUAGAUCAACUGGCCGCAGUAAAGUUGGGGUGCCACCAGGAGUGUAUGUUUUCAGAAAAGCAAGUGGGACAGCAGUCGCUCAAUGCGAUUUAACCAGGAUGCUCAAAGAGAGGAAGAUCAACGAAGGAUGGUUGAAAUAAUUGGACAUCUGACAAAAAUAAGGUUUGGAGAAAAAAUUGAUCGCACCAAGGCAAAAGAAGGAAAAGAGUUUGCUGGUGGCAUUUAUUGCAGAUUGGAAUCCCAGCUUAAAGGUUGUCCACCACCAACUUCUCGUCAGAAUAAUUCAUCACAAAACACAAGGUCCAAGGCCCGCUUUUCACAGAUGCGCCCAACAUAAUGGAUUCCAAGGACUAAGAAGGAUGAUCUUUUGCUUUUUUGGGAUGAUUGCGUGAUAAAUACCAAACUGCACCAUAACUUAAAUCUGCAUGUUUAAUUGCAUCACGAAAUAUCUAAUCACGUACAAUUAGCUAAUGGUUUUCAUGAUUUUACAGUAGUAUAUACUUGAACUAUAUCAGAUAAAAGAUGACACCAUGAAAUUCAAUUUAAGCUGUUAACUGUUCUGUAUUAACCUGUCGGUAUUCAAAUUAGUUAACUGCACUUAUGCUAAGCAUUUGAACCCUUUCCCACUUAACUUUUCAGUGUGUCUUUUCUGGUUCUCCAAAACUUCAGUGGAUUCAAUAUUAGACUCUAAACUGCAAGCAAUUCUUCAAAUAAUAUUCAAUAUAAAAAGCUUUAACUUGCAAAAUUUUGAAGUUUAAGUUGCUGGGCAACUGAUCCUGAAAUGAAAAACUUUUAUUUUAAAAAAAAAACUGGUUGGCAGCCAUCUUGUAUUUGGGGAAGUGGGUGUUCUGUAUGUUUAUAGCUACCUGAAGUUCUUGUUGCUUUGUAGUAUUGUUCCAGAUGGUCUUUGAAAUAAUGUGGUGCAACCCCUUAUUUAUAGAUAAAUUGUUUACAUAUCCUACAUUUUGUUUUUACCUUCCAUUUUAGUUUCUGAAAUCUAAAUAUUGGUACUUGUAAAAUUCUUUGGAAUUAAAUUUUGUACUGUAAUUUCUGAAGCAAGUUUAUGGGGAUUUUAAAAGCCAUUUCUAGCAUUCUACAAUGAUUAGAAUAAUGAAAUAGUUUAUACAAUGUAAUAGGGAUUACAUCCCUUUUAAAAGAUCCUUGUAGAUUAGCUAUUUAGGAAAAGAAAUCCUAAACUUUCUUUGUUUAUUCCCAUUUUUCAGAAGUUUGCAAAAUAAAUACAUUGAGGAAAACUUACUGUCUUCAUUUAUACUACUGUAAUUAUGAAAUUGAGAGAUGAUGGCUGAGGGGGGUCUGAGAAUAAUGGAGAUGUAUAUUGAACAGAUUUAAGAGCUGGUUUUGAGCUAUGGUCUACUCUCUUGCCAAAGAAAGGGGUUGAUCUCUCUCAUUUAUUGUGCUCUCAACAUGUGAAACUUCCAUUCAACUUUAGUGUACAUAUUUGCUUUUCACACUAUCGAAACGAUUAACAGUGAAGAGCGACUUCCUCAAUUAAAUGCCUAAUAAGCAGUACCGUACCUGAGUUUUCAGAAAUAUGAUGUUUCAGGGAAUCAACGUAGUUAAACUGUCAGAAACCAACAACCUUUCAUUGCUUUAGACCACUUAACUGUUCAGUUUGAAUAGCUAUAUUUGCCUUGAUACUCAUCCAAAAUUACCUUGUUUGCUUAUGUCCAAUAUCUCAUUUAGAUGUCAGUUUUGCUAAGCUGUAUGUUUUCUCCGUUCUCUCAACUGAGUCAACAACAAUUAUUUUGUUUAGUAAUUUCUAAAAGUGAACUAUUUGGGAGACGUUCACCCAAAUAGCGAUACAUCACACCAUCAUUGUAAGGCUGAUUAUAGAUGCAACUGCUGUACAGCCUAAUAGACAUCCAAAGUGACAUGAAAAUUUGGACUGACAUUAAAGCUUAUUUUGAUUCCCA
Molecule: RNA transcript, 4106 nt
Organism: Carcharodon carcharias (great white shark)
Lineage: Eukaryota; Metazoa; Chordata; Chondrichthyes; Lamniformes; Lamnidae
Gene: sanbr
Gene name: SANT and BTB domain regulator of CSR
Exons: 22
Source: RefSeq, a predicted model, not a curated record